UGCUACUAAUUAAGAUAAAAUUGUUCUUGGAUUAGUAAAUUUUUAGAAACUUAAUGGUUUUGGCGGCAAGAUAGACUAGUUAGAGGAACCUGCCCUGUAAAUGACAGACCACGAUUACCUUACUUUUUUUAGAAAUCUCAGUUUGUAUAUCGCUGUUGUCAGUUGGUUUUAUUAAAAAACUUUCAUUUAUAAAAUAUUUAUAAACUUCAAGCAAUGUAGCAGCUAAUAAAAAAGAUAGAGGUGGGUUACAAUGAUUUAAUUUAUACGGAUAGAAAUGGGAAGGGUAUUUCUUAAAGGAGGAUUUAAUUGUAAAUUUUUGAGAAAUUGAUUUAAGCUCUUUCUUGU
This 345-nucleotide ribosomal RNA is filed under the name Metaverruca recta. RNAcentral describes it as "partial 12S ribosomal RNA". Lineage: Eukaryota; Metazoa; Arthropoda; Thecostraca; Verrucomorpha; Verrucidae. The record is from RNAcentral.